Molecule: ribosomal RNA, 695 nt
Filed under: beta proteobacterium IMCC14898
Lineage: Bacteria; Pseudomonadati; Pseudomonadota; Betaproteobacteria
Description: bacterial SSU rRNA
Rfam family: Bacterial small subunit ribosomal RNA
Source: RNAcentral
GCAAGUCGAACGGCAGCAUAGAGAGCUUGCUCUCUGAUGGCGAGUGGCGAACGGGUGAGUAAUAUAUCGGAACGUGCCUAGUAAUGGGGAAUAACUAGCUGAAAGGUUAGCUAAUGCCGCAUACGACCUACGGGUGAAAGCAGGGGAUCUUCGGACCUUGCGUUAUUAGAGCGGCCGAUAUCUGAUUAGCUUGUUGGUGGGGUAAUGGCCCACCAAGGCGACGAUCAGUAGCUGGUCUGAGAGGACGAUCAGCCACACUGGAACUGAGACACGGUCCAGACUCCUACGGGAGGCAGCAGUGGGGAAUUUUGGACAAUGGGGGCAACCCUGAUCCAGCCAUUCCGCGUGAGUGAAGAAGGCCUUCGGGUUGUAAAGCUCUUUCGCAAGAGAAGAAAACUUGCUAUCUAAUAUAUAGUAAGCAUGACGGUAUCUUGACAAGAAGCACCGGCUAACUACGUGCCAGCAGCCGCGGUAAUACGUAGGGUGCAAGCGUUAAUCGGAAUUACUGGGCGUAAAGCGUGCGCAGGCAGUUUUAUAAGUCAGAUGUGAAAUCCCCGAGCUCAACUUGGGAACUGCGUUUGAAACUGUAAGACUAGAGUGUGUCAGAGGGGGGUAGAAUUCCAAGUGUAGCAGUGAAAUGCGUAGAGAUUUGGAGGAAUACCAAUGGCGAAGGCAGCCCCCUGGGAUAACACUGA